Molecule: small nuclear RNA, 104 nt
Organism: Sarcophilus harrisii (Tasmanian devil)
Lineage: Eukaryota; Metazoa; Chordata; Mammalia; Dasyuromorphia; Dasyuridae
Source: Ensembl
AUGCUUGCUUCAGCAGCAUAUGUUCUAAAAUUGGAACAAUAUAGAGAUUAACAUGGCCCCUACAUGAAGAUAACAUGCAAAUCUGUGAAGCGGUAGUCCAUUUU